Long non-coding RNA from Setaria italica (foxtail millet), 3493 nucleotides. RefSeq lists it as uncharacterized. The transcript has 4 exons. The record is from RefSeq and is a predicted model, not a curated record. NCBI's taxonomy places the organism in Eukaryota, Viridiplantae, Streptophyta, Magnoliopsida, Poales, Poaceae.
UGUGGAAUCAUUUUAGAAAGAGUAAAAUGCAUGGGAGGCCCUUUAACUUGUAGGGCUGUGUCAAAUAGGUCCACCAACUCUGAAAAUGCAUUUUUGGUCCCUAAUCUUGUUUAGCCAUGCGCUAUAGGUCCAAAACACCACGGGAUGGCCUUUUUGCCAAUGUGGCAUCGCUAACAUGGAAUCCACACAGCUGCAGCACACGUGAGGGGGUGGGCCAGUGUGGAAAUAUGCACGUUAGCCCCUGGCUUUCCAUUUUCUUCACAUAACUCAACCAAUCCCCUCAUUGAGUUCUUCGACUACUAGGGUGGAGGGGAGAUGAAGGACAGCAGCGAUGAUUGGUGCGAGUCGGCGGGGAAGUAGGGAGGAAGAAGGGUCAAGGAGCAUCCGCGGAGCCAGGGAACCACGGUGAACGUCGCCCGCGGUGAGAAAUUUGUGAUGGUGCCCUCCUUGCUUGCAAAGGAGAACCGCCGCCCAUGUAUGGUGCUGACAGUGAUCUGUUCACAAUUGAGUUGCAUCACGGGGUUUCUUUGUUAGUCAUGGGUCGAAUUGGGCUUAUGUUGAUGAUAAAGUCUCCUACUUUGAUCAUUGUGAGGUAGAUAGUUGGUCUACUCUAUGGAUAGAUGAUUUUCUUGAGUAGCUAAAUUACCUUAAGAGUACAGCUUUGAAGGUGUAUUGGUUGCUACCAGGGAAGGACCUUUUAGAUGGGCUUAGAAUUGUCUGUUCAGAUGCUGACACACUGGUGAUGAUGUCUGUGGUUGACAAGGUGAAGCAGUAUGUGCUAUAUGUAGACCAUGAUGACAAUAUUGUAGAAUUAAGUUGGGAUGAUACUAUAGCAAACCUAGUGGCUUCUUUACCAAAAGUAUUAAGCCCCAGGAAGGUUAAAAUUAUUGAGAAGAACCAUGAAGAGAAGCUACCUGUGUUUUAUUCCAACUUGAAGAUUGUGGUAUAUGAUGAAGCAACAGGAUAAGGUCAAGCUAACUAUGAUAGUGGCACUGAAGGAAAUGACAGUGAGGAUGACCAAGAAUUUCUUAAUAGUGACUAUGAUAUAGAAGAUGAUGAUGAUCUUUUUGUUGACAAUGUUGAUGAGGAUGUGGUGGAUGAAGGAAUUGGCAGAGGGAAGAAAAUAGGGAUAUGAAAGAAGGCUUUAAGCAAGAAGGGUAAAGGGUCAGUUCUUGUGGACCAAGAUGGUGAGGAAUUGUCAAUAGAUUAAGAUGACUUGCAGGCACUAGACUCAGAUAGUGAAGGUCAGAUCAAAUGGGGUUCAAGGCAUUUAGAUCAGGGGAUUUGCACAAUCAUUCAAGGUGGGUAUGUUAUUUGAGUCAGUUCAGCUGCUGAGGAAGGCAAUCACAAAAUAUAGAUUGAAGGAGAGGGUGGAAAUCAAGUUGUCAAGAAAUGAGAAGAAAAGGCUAAGGGUACAUUGUGCAAAUGGAUGUCCUUGGGGCCUUUAUGCUUCACAUGAUGGCAGGGCUAAAGGGUUGGUGGUGAAUACAUAUUGUGGUAAGCAUAACUAUCAAAAGCACCGGGUGUUGAAGAGGUGUACAUCAAAAUGGCUUGCUGAUAAGUAUCUAGAAUCCUUUAGAGCAGACUAAAUGAUGUCUCUCAGUAACUUUGCUAGAAUUGUUCAAAAGGAGUGGAACAUGACACCAUCAAGAUCCAAACUUGCAAGAGCUAGAAGACUUUCCAUGAAAGAAGUACUAGGUGACGAGGUAGACCAAUACAAAUUGCUUUGGGACUAUGGCCAUGAGUUGAGGAGAAGCAACCAUGGCAGUACUUUCUUUCUCAAUCUGAAUGGUAAUAGGUUCAGCACUAUGUACAUGUCACUUGAUGCUUGCAAAAGAGGUUUCUUGAGUGCUUGUAGGCCUAUUAUUUGUUUGGAUGGAUGGCAUAUUAAGACAAAAUUUGGAGGACAGAUUCUGACUGCAGUUGGUAUAGAUCCAAAUGAUUGUAUCUACCCAAUAGCAAUAGGCAUUGUUGAGGUGGAGUCACUAGCCUCAUGAAAUGCUUUCUCCAGGCCUUGAAAGACAACCUCGGCAUUGAUAACACUUAUCCAUGGACAAUUAUGACAUAUAAACAGAAGGGGCUAAUUCAAGCUAUCCAACAACUUUUCCCUGAUUCAGAACAUAGAUUCUAUGCUAGGUAUCUCUACUCCAACUUCCAGAUGCACUUCAAAGGGGAGAACUUGAAAAAUCAACUUUGGGCAUGUGCUAGGUCUAGUAAUAUAGUUCAAUGGAACCAGGAUAUGGAUAUGAUGAGAGAACUGAAUCCUGAUGCUCAUAAGUGGUUAGAGGAGAUGCCACCACAAACAUGGGUUAGAACUUUCUUUAGUACUUAUCCCAAGUGUGAUAUGCUAUUGAACAACACAUGUGAGGUCUUCAAUAAUCUAGACGCUAGAGAAGUGCAUGUGCUUAGCAUGUUACAAUAGAUCAAGACUCAACUGAUUACAAGGCAUUACAACAAGGAGAAAGAGGUGGGAGAUGUAUGGCAAGGUCCAAUCUGUUCAAAGAUUAGAAAGAAGUUGCAAAAGAACAUAGAGCUAGCUAACAUAUGUUAUGCUCUACCUGCUAGCAAGGGGGUUUUUGAGGUGCGGGGCAAAACCAACAAAUACAUUGUGGACAUUAGCUUGAAAAACUGUGACUGCAGAAGGUGGGAUCUCACUGGAAUCCCUUGCUCUCAUGCUAUCUCAUGCUUGAGGCAUGAAAGAAUCCCUCAAGAGUUAGUUCUCCCUUAUUGCUACUCCACAAUAAGUUUCCUGCUUGCUUAUGGUAACAGCAUUUAGCCAUGCAAAGAUAAGAGUUCGUGGGAGAAGAUUCUUGCAUAAGAAGUGUUUCCACGUGUUUAUGAGAAGAAGGUUGGUAGGCCACCCAAAUCAAGGAGGAGGCAGCCAUAUGAAAUUGAAGGCCCAAAUGGUCUAAAAUUGACAAAGCAUGGGGUCAUCAUCAACUGUAGGUAUUGUGGAUCAUCAAGUCACAACAGAGCUGGAUGCCCAUUGAGAAAGCAGGGUCAAGCUCCAACACAAGUGCCUACACAAGUGCCUGUAGAAGAAUAUCAAGCUUCGGCACAAUCAGAAUCGACACAUCAAGUUGGAGAAACAAUGGAUGAUGACCCAUUCACUUCUCAGCGAGACUAGUUCCACCUACAGCAGCAACAAAGGUCGGAAGAUCCAAAGCAACUAAGCGUGAGGAAGCUCCUGUAGCAGCUCCAAAGAAAGAAAAAGCUCCAAAGAGGCUAAACCAACAAAGAAUGGUGCCCCAGGGCACACUUGAUGGUUGCCUGGUGAUUUGGUACAGCAGCAACACUAAACAAUAUGGGACUUGUCUAUGGUGCUUUUGUGUAGCACAAACACUUAUUACUCUUUUGAUGUCUUCGACCUGGUUUAGGGAAGAUAAAUGUAUAGUUCAAGGAAGAUUAGCUAUAGUUCAAAACUUAUCUAUUACUCUUUUGGUUUGAUAGAAUUAUAUGUACUCAUCCCAUGCAAACAUGCCAUGACUAGAUG